This 64-nucleotide transfer RNA is filed under the name Urocitellus parryii (Arctic ground squirrel). Its description in RNAcentral is "Spermophilus parryii (Arctic ground squirrel) tRNA". It matches the Rfam family "tRNA". From Rfam's summary of the family: Transfer RNA (tRNA) molecules are approximately 80 nucleotides in length. Their secondary structure includes four short double-helical elements and three loops (D, anti-codon, and T loops). Further hydrogen bonds mediate the characteristic L-shaped molecular structure. tRNAs have two regions of fundamental functional importance: the anti-codon, which is responsible for specific mRNA codon recognition, and the 3' end, to which the tRNAs corresponding amino acid is attached (by aminoacyl-tRNA synthetases). tRNAs cope with the degeneracy of the genetic code in two manners: having more than one tRNA (with a specific anti-codon) for a particular amino acid; and 'wobble' base-pairing, i.e. permitting non-standard base-pairing at the 3rd anti-codon position. RNAcentral also lists the same sequence under 2 other names. Lineage: Eukaryota; Metazoa; Chordata; Mammalia; Rodentia; Sciuridae. The record is from Rfam by way of RNAcentral.
AGUGUAGCUUAGUGGUAGAGUAUUUACUUUACAUGCACAGGUCCUGGGUUCAAUUCCCAGCACU